AUACGUAGGGGGCGAGCGUUGUCCGGAAUGACUGGGCGUAAAGGGCGUGUAGGCGGCCGAUUAAGUCUGGAGUGAAAGUCCUGCUUUCAAGGUGGGAAUUGCUUUGGAAACUGGUUGGCUUGAGUGCGGAAGAGGUAAGUGGAAUUCCCAGUGUAGCGGUGAAAUGCGUAGAGAUUGGGAGGAACACCAGUGGCGAAGGCGACUUACUGGGCCGUAACUGACGCUGAGGCGCGAAAGCGUGGGGAGCGAACAGGAUUAGAUACCCUGGUAGUCCACGCGGUAAACGAUGAAUGCUAGGUGUAGGGGGUAUCGACCCCUCCUGUGCCGGAGUAAACACAAUAAGCAUUCCGCCUGGGGAGUACGGCCGCAAGGUUGAA
RNAcentral lists this ribosomal RNA (377 nucleotides) under uncultured bacterium. Its description in RNAcentral is "bacterial SSU rRNA". It matches the Rfam family "Bacterial small subunit ribosomal RNA", at positions 523 to 898 of the family's 1533-position model. The record is from RNAcentral.